This 78-nucleotide non-coding RNA is filed under the name Roseinatronobacter ekhonensis. RNAcentral's name for it is "Rhodobacter sp. EL-50 Alpha-proteobacteria SAM riboswitch aptamer". It matches the Rfam family "Alpha-proteobacteria SAM riboswitch aptamer". Rfam says of the family: This family is a riboswitch found predominantly in alpha-proteobacteria that binds S-adenosyl methionine (SAM). This SAM riboswitch is located upstream of the metA and metC genes in Agrobacterium tumefaciens, and other methionine and SAM biosynthesis genes in other alpha-proteobacteria. Like the other SAM riboswitch, it probably functions to turn off expression of these genes in response to elevated SAM levels. The record is from Rfam by way of RNAcentral. Lineage: Bacteria; Pseudomonadati; Pseudomonadota; Alphaproteobacteria; Rhodobacterales; Paracoccaceae.
UUGCGGCACCGUGGCGAUUUGUCACCCGAUUGCGGGCCACGUUAAUCACACCGCUAAAGAGGUCUGGGCCAGCCCCCG